This 532-nucleotide ribosomal RNA is filed under the name uncultured Pseudomonas sp. RNAcentral's name for it is "partial 16S ribosomal RNA". It matches the Rfam family "Bacterial small subunit ribosomal RNA", at positions 389 to 912 of the family's 1533-position model. Lineage: Bacteria; Pseudomonadati; Pseudomonadota; Gammaproteobacteria; Pseudomonadales; Pseudomonadaceae. The record is from RNAcentral.
CCGCCUGCCGCGUGUGUGAAGAAGGUCUUCGGAUUGUAAAGCACUUUANGUUGGGANGAANAGGCAGUAAAUUAAUACUUUGCUGUUUUGACGUUACCGACAGAAUAAGCACCGGCUAACUCUGUGCCAGCAGCCGCGGUAAUACANAGGGUGCAAGCGUUAAUCGGAAUUACUGGGCGUAAAGCGCGCGNAGGNGGUUCGUUAAGUUGGAUGUGAAAUCCCCGGGCUCAACCUGGGAACUGCAUUCAAAACUGACNAGCUAGAGUNUGGUAGAGGGUGGUGGAAUUUCCUGUGUAGCGGUGAAAUGCGUAGAUAUANGAAGGAACACCANUGGCGAAGGCGACCACCUGGACUGAUACUGACACUGAUGNGCGAAAGCGUGGGGAGCAAACAGGAUUAGAUACCCUGGUAGUCCACGCCGUAAACGAUGUCAACUAGCCGUUGGGAGCCUUGAGCUCUUAUUGGCUGCACCUAACCCAUUAAGUUGACCGCCUGGGGAGUCCGGCCGCAAGGUUAAAACUCAAAUGAAUUG